RNAcentral lists this ribosomal RNA (447 nucleotides) under uncultured bacterium. RNAcentral's name for it is "bacterial SSU rRNA". It matches the Rfam family "Bacterial small subunit ribosomal RNA", at positions 355 to 825 of the family's 1533-position model. The record is from RNAcentral.
UGGGGAAUUUUGGGCAAUGGGCGAAAGCCUGACCCAGCAACGCCGCGUGAAGGAUGAAGUCUCUCGGGAUGUAAACUUCGUAAGAAUAGGAAGAAUAAAUGACGGUACUAUUUGUAAGGUCCGGCUAACUACGUGCCAGCAGCCGCGGUAAUACGUAGGGACCAAGCGUUGUUCGGAUUUACUGGGCGUAAAGGGCGCGUAGGCGGCAAUUCAAGUCAUCUGUGAAAUCUCCGGGCUUAACUCGGAACGGUCAGAUGAUACUGCUUUGCUAGAGUGCAGAAGGGGCAAUCGGAAUUCUUGGUGUAGCGGUGAAAUGCGUAGAUAUCAAGAGGAACACCUGAGGUGAAGACGGGUUGCUGGGCUGACACUGACGCUGAGGCGCGAAAGCCAGGGGAGCAAACGGGAUUAGAUACCCACGUAGUCCCUGAGCGGGCUGGCAAGGCGCAU